This 1106-nucleotide long non-coding RNA is filed under the name Takifugu rubripes (torafugu). Its description in RNAcentral is "lncRNA (ENSTRUG00000030113.1)". The record is from RNAcentral. Lineage: Eukaryota; Metazoa; Chordata; Actinopteri; Tetraodontiformes; Tetraodontidae.
AUGUUGAGAGGAGGAGAAUUACAUGGAGCGAGUUGUGGAGCAUGGAGGCUAGCAGGCUUAGUUUCACCAUUAGAGCCGUGUACGAUGUCCUUCCCUCUCCAACCAACUUACAUCUCUGGUAUGGAGAAGAACCAGCCUGUCCACAGUGUGCAGCACCUGCAAGCCUCAAGCACAUCUUGGUGGGUUGUAAGAUCAGCCUGACCCAAGGAAGGUACACCUGGCGCCACAAUCAAGUAUUGAAGUUCUUGGCGGCUGAACUUGAGAAGAGGAGGGUAAAGAUCAAUUCCAUGCCUCCAAAUUCCCAACCUGUUGCCCCAUGGAAAAUGUCCUUCGUUCGGGGAGGGGAGAAGCGAGGGUGUAAGCCAGCUCCUCCGGAGGCCGGCGCACUCACCGUUGCCCGAGACUGGGAAAUGCGGGUGGACCUCAGCCAGAGGCUUAUUUUUCCAUCUGAAGUCACAGUUACCAACUUGCGCCCAGACCUGGUCCUAUGGUCCAAAUCCUGUCGGCGCGUUUUCAUUGUGGAGCUCACUGUCCCAUGGGAGGAGGCAAUCGGGGAGGCAUACGAACGGAAGAGACUGCGUUAUGCGAACCUAGCAGCUGAAGCAGAGGGGCGGGGCUGGAGUGUAAAAGUGUGGCCUGUGGAGGUAGGCUGCAGAGGCUUUGUUUCCAGAACCACCACAAAGCUCCUGAAGGAAAUGGGCAUCAGAGGGCAGGCCCAACGGAGGGCAGUAAAAGAGCUCGCUGCCACAGGACAUAUCGUGGGCGGCCAAGUGAUCAUGUGGUGCCAUUGUGCAACACACACACCCAGUUUUGAUCAGACUGUGGUGGGCCAACCUUGGUGGAGGGUGUCUUGUGUUAAAUGGCUGAAACACCUAAUGAUGCCAAGGCACACAACUGAUGAUGUGUCGAGCUGGUGACACCACAGAAUCAUGAGUGCCAAUCCUACUCCAUCCAAGUCUUUUUCACUUGCCAUGAUUAGGUCGGGAUUUUAACACCUAGUCCUAUAGAGAAGUCUAUGUGGAGAACACCGUACCCACCAGGACUGUAUGGAGCUUCUCCAACAGCAAGCCCUGGAUCACCCCAGAUAUAAAGGCUCUCCUCAAGGA